UACGUAGGGGGCAAGCGUUGUCCGGAUUUAUUGGGCGUAAAGAGCGUGUAGGCGGCCAGAUAGGUCCGUUGUGAAAACUCGAGGCUCAACCUCGAGACGCCGAUGGAAACCAUCUGGCUAGAGUCCGGAAGAGGAGAGUGGAAUUCCCGGUGUAGCGGUGAAAUGCGCAGAUAUCGGGAAGAACACCCGGUGGCUAAGGCGGCUCUCUAGUACGGUACUGACGCUGAGACGCGAAAGCGUGGGGAGCGAACAGG
Molecule: ribosomal RNA, 254 nt
Filed under: uncultured bacterium
Lineage: Bacteria
Description: partial 16S ribosomal RNA
Rfam family: Bacterial small subunit ribosomal RNA
Source: RNAcentral